AGCCCAAUACCAGAAUCGAACUGAUAACUAAGAAUUACAAGUUCCUCGUUUUUCCAUUAAACUAAUCGGGC
RNAcentral lists this transfer RNA (71 nucleotides) under Bacillus phage PBC2. RNAcentral's name for it is "tRNA-Thr". The record is from RNAcentral. Lineage: Duplodnaviria; Heunggongvirae; Uroviricota; Caudoviricetes.